AAAGUGGCGAACGGCUGAGUAACACGUGGGCAACCUGCCCUUUGCACUGGGAUAGCCUCGGGAAACCGAGGUUAAUACCGGAUACUCCAUAUUUGUCGCAUGGCGAAUAUGGGAAAGCUCCGGCGGCAAAGGAUGGGCCCGCGGCCUGUUAGCUAGUUGGUGGGGUAGUGGCCUACCAAGGCAAUGAUGGGUAGCCGGGUUGAGAGACCGACCGGCCAGAUUGGGACUGAGACACGGCCCAGACUCCUACGGGAGGCAGCAGCU
This 264-nucleotide ribosomal RNA is filed under the name uncultured Atopobium sp. Its description in RNAcentral is "partial 16S ribosomal RNA". It matches the Rfam family "Bacterial small subunit ribosomal RNA", at positions 92 to 355 of the family's 1533-position model. Lineage: Bacteria; Bacillati; Actinomycetota; Coriobacteriia; Coriobacteriales; Atopobiaceae. The record is from RNAcentral.